AAGGGCUCUUUUCCCAGGAGGCCCACAUCCUGCCCUUCAGCGCGGACAGCGGAGGAGGAAGUGGUGUGCAGUGGCCUGGGUCUGAGCGAGGGCGGUUCUCAGGGACCUGGUCUCAGUGCCCGUACUAUCAUCUGGUGGCAUUAUUCUAUGUUUAUAUUCCAUGGAGAUCUAGAUCUUGAUUUGGAAGUUUAUGACGAAAUGAUCAGCAUCUGACUUGACAUCAAUAUUACCAGUGAAGGAUUAUAUUUUGAGGCCUAUGGAUAUUGCUAUAUAUACAUCUACUCCAUUGCUGCUCAUGGUCUGUUACAGUGUGCCUAGAACACAAUUUACUUAUAUUCUCUGCCAUGGAAGGACUUCCAUAUUGUUUCAGCACAAGCAAGGCUCUGUGAACAACCUAGACAUGCCCCCUGUUGGAAAAUGCCAAAGGACAUUUACUUAGGAUCCAGACUAACAGAAUUGCUAGGCUGUAGAGCAUAUGUAUGCAACUCAGAUACCAUAAACAGUCUAAUUUCAGAAGUCCUCUCAGAUUACCACCAGAAGGAUUCACCAGUUCACACCUCCCGCCCCCCCGCCAGCAGUAUGAGUGUUUGUAUACCAACCUCUUGCUGAUAUUUGGCAUUAAGUUUUCUAAUUUUUCUCAUUUCUGUCUAAUGGGUAUAAAAUAAUAUUUUUUAGUUUCAUUUUACUUUUAUCUGACUACUGAUGAAUUUGGUCAGCUUUUUAUAUGCUUGCUGUCUUUCGGAUUUUUCCCUCCUGUAAAUUCCCCUUCAAAUUCAUUGCAUAUUUGUCCACUGGGAGUGUAUUUAUUUAUUUUUAUUGAUUUACAGAAGUUCUUUGAAUAUUCUAGAUAGUUGCCAGCUGGUUUUAGACAAGUAGCUUGUUAGCCUGUCACUUUACUUUAACUUUGCCCAUUAUGUCUUUUUGUGUGUGUGUGUGUGAACAGAAAUCUUAAUUUUUAUGUAAUUCAAUUUAUCAAUAUUUUACUUUGAGAGCUUUGUAAAAUAAAUUAUUUUC
Myotis myotis is the source of this 1014-nucleotide long non-coding RNA. RefSeq lists it as uncharacterized. Lineage: Eukaryota; Metazoa; Chordata; Mammalia; Chiroptera; Vespertilionidae. The record is from RefSeq and is a predicted model, not a curated record. The transcript is spliced from 3 exons.